GGGAAACAGGUUAAUAUUCCUGUACUUCUGGUUACUGCGAUGGAGGGACGGAGAAGGCUAGGCCAGCUUGGCGUUGGUUGUCCAAGUUUAAGGUGGUAGGCUGAAAUCUUAGGUAAAUCCGGGGUUUCAAGGCCGAGAGCUGAUGACGAGUCGUCUUUUGGAUGACGAAGUGGUUGAUGCCAUGCUUCCAAGAAAAGCUUCUAAGCUUCAGGUAACCAGGAACCGUACCCCAAACCGACACAGGUGGUCGGGUAGAGAAUACCAAGGCGCUUGAGAGAACUCGGGUGAAGGAACUAGGCAAAAUGGCACCGUAACUUCGGGAGAAGGUGCGCCGGCUAGGGUGAAGGAUUUACUCCGUAAGCUCUGGCUGGUCGAAGAUACCAGGCCGCUGCGACUGUUUAUUAAAAACACAGCACUCUGCAAACACGAAAGUGGACGUAUAGGGUGUGACGCCUCCCCGGUGCCGGAAGGUUAAUUGAUGGGGUUAGCGCAAGCGAAGCUCUUGAUCGAAGCCCCGGUAAACGGCGGCCGUAACAAUAACGGUCCUAAGGUAGCGAAAUUCCUUGUCGGGUAAGUUCCGACCUGCACGAAUGGCGUAACGAUGGCGGCGCUGUCUCCACCCGAGACUCAGUGAAAUUGAAAUCGCUGUGAAGAUGCAGUGUAUCCGCGGCUAGACGGAAAGACCACGUGAACCUUUACUGUAGCUUUGCACUGGACUUUGAGCCUGCUUGUGUAGGAUAGGUGGGAGGCUUUGAAGCGUGGACGCCAGUUCGCGUGGAGCCAUCCUUGAAAUACCACCCUGGCAUGCUUGAGGUUCUAACUCUGGUCCGUAAUCCGGAUCGAGGACAGUGUAUGGUGGGCAGUUUGACUGGGGCGGUCUCCUCCUAAAGAGUAACGGAGGAGUACGAAGGUGCGCUCAGACCGGUCGGAAAUCGGUCGCAGAGUAUAAAGGCAAAAGCGCGCUUGACUGCGAGACAGACACGUCGAGCAGGUACGAAAGUAGGUCUUAGUGAUCCGGUGGUUCUGUAUGGAAGGGCCAUCGCUCAACGGAUAAAAGGUACUCCGGGGAUAACAGGCUGAUACCGCCCAAGAGUUCAUAUCGACGGCGGUGUUUGGCACCUCGAUGUCGGCUCAUCACAUCCUGGGGCUGAAGCCGGUCCCAAGGGUAUGGCUGUUCGCCAUUUAAAGUGGUACGCGAGCUGGGUUUAGAACGUCGUGAGACAGUUCGGUCCCUAUCUGCCGUGGACGUUUGAGAUUUGAGAGGGGCUGCUCCUAGUACGAGAGGACCGGAGUGGACGAACCUCUGGUGUUCCGGUUGUCACGCCAGUGGCAUUGCCGGGUAGCUAUGUUCGGAAAAGAUAACCGCUGAAAGCAUCUAAGCGGGAAACUUGCCUCAAGAUGAGAUCUCACUGGGAACUUGAUUCCCCUGAAGGGCCGUCGAAGACUACGACGUUGAUAGGCUGGGUGUGUAAGCGUUGUGAGGCGUUGAGCUAACCAGUACUAAUUGCCCGUGAGGCUUGACU
RNAcentral lists this ribosomal RNA (1523 nucleotides) under metagenome. Its description in RNAcentral is "bacterial LSU rRNA". It matches the Rfam family "Bacterial large subunit ribosomal RNA", at positions 1420 to 2925 of the family's 2925-position model. The record is from RNAcentral.